This is an RNA transcript of Syngnathoides biaculeatus (alligator pipefish), 4226 nucleotides long. It is a transcript of the gene named sphingosine-1-phosphate receptor 2, with no coding region annotated. The record is from RefSeq and is a predicted model, not a curated record. The transcript is spliced from 3 exons. Lineage: Eukaryota; Metazoa; Chordata; Actinopteri; Syngnathiformes; Syngnathidae.
GAGCCUAUGCCAGGUGUCAACGGGUUGAACUGGUCGCCAGCCAAUCGCAGGGCACGUGGAGACAGACAACAGCGGCACUCAAAAUCACACCUACGGGCAAUUUAGAGUGUCGAAUUAAUUAAUGUUGCACGUUUUUGGGACGUGGGAGGAAACCCACGCAGGCACGGGGAGAACACGCAAACUCCACACAGGCGGGUCUGGGAUUGAACCCAGGAACUCGGGACUGUGAGGCCGACGCUAAUUAGUUAGCGGGUGAGCUAGCAAGUUAGCAUCGGCGCUCACCCAAAUCAGCCCAUUUAAGACGUGGAAUUCAUGAAUUUGCUGUUGACAACGUCGUCAGAUUAUCGCGCGCGUGUCAGAGCGAGCGCGUGUGUUUGUGUUUGUUUGCGCGGGUGCGCGUUGCGAUGGCGUCAUGCGCGCGUCCCCCCCCCCCGCCUCUGGAGCGUGCGCGCGCGUGCACGUGUGUCUGGACGCCCACUUCAGUCAGCAGAAGCAGCAGCAGCAGCGGCGGCGGCGCGAGACGCGCUGCUGGAUCCGAGAAAGUGAGACCGCUGCGGGACGCUUUUUUUUUUUUUGGAGACUCCCCAUCGCUCGGCGAGUUGACUCGACUUGCACCGGAAUCCGGUUGCGUUUUGUUUUUCCCCCGGGUAUGGAUCUCCCACCGGCGGGGACCGGACGGCGGGUCUCGGCACCGAAACGGUGGUGAUUUUGUUGUCACCCGCGAGAUCGGAACCGGGCGGCUACGGUUUUCGGAGCGGAUUUUUUUUUUUUGCUGUUGUUUUUGCGAAGUUGGCGACCACAUGUGAGCGCCGCCGGGGACCAAAAGUUUCACCUCUCCUCCCUCCCAUGGGGUGACCCACCUCGGGGUCCUGAGACGUGACUGUGGGACAGGCGUUCUCCCACCCGGGCCCUCCUUCCGGGACCUUCCCCCAAGGCGAUGUUCACAGCCCCGACGUAUUCCCCAGCCCGACCUCGCGGUUUGAAUGAAUCUUCUCGGUGAAGCCGCCGUGCUGUGCCAGCCCGUCGCCAUGAGGAGCAGAUACUCGCAGUACUACAACCGGACUCUGAUCCCCUCCUACUACGUGUUCGCCAAGAACAUGACCAUCGAGGAGCUGGACAAGCGCUACGAGGACAAGAAGGUGCUGACGGACCCCAGCAUCAUCAUUGUGGUCCUGUGCACUAUCAUCAUCCUGGAGAACCUGCUGGUGCUCAUCGCCGUGUGCCGCAACAAGAAGUUCCACUCGGCCAUGUUCUUCUUCAUCGGCAACCUGGCCUUCUCCGACCUCUUGGCCGGCUCGGCCUACAUCGCCAACAUUUUCCUGUCGGGCUCGCGGACCUUCGACCUGGUGCCCGUGCAGUGGUUCAUCCGCGAGGGGACGGCGUUCAUCGCUCUGGCCGCGUCGGUCUUCAGCCUCCUGGCCAUCGCCAUCGAGCGCUACAUCGCCAUCACCAAGGUCAAAGUCUACGGCUCCACCAAGACGUGCCGCAUGUUCCUGCUCAUCGGAGCCUGCUGGGUGACGUCCAUCCUGCUGGGCGGUCUGCCCAUCAUCGGCUGGAACUGCAUCGACAACCUCCCCGAGUGCUCGGCCGUGCUGCCGCUCUACUCCAAGAAGUACAUCCUCUUCGUGGUGACCAUCUUCAGCCUCAUCCUGCUCUCCAUCGUCAUCCUCUACGUGAGGAUCUACUUGAUCGUGCGCUCCAGCCACCAGGAAGCCACAAACUCCCCCGCCUACGCCCUCCUGAAAACCGUCACCAUCGUGCUGGGCGUCUUCAUCAUGUGCUGGCUGCCCGCCUUCACCAUCCUCCUCCUGGAUUCGUCGUGCACCAUCCAGUCCUGCCCCGUCCUCUACAAGGCCGACAUCUUCUUCGGCUUCGCCACGCUCAACUCGGCGCUCAACCCCGUCAUCUACACGCUGCGGAGCAAGGACAUGCGCAAGGAGUUCCUGCGCGUGCUUUGCUGCUGGGGCGUGCUGCAGAGCGGGCGGCCCGCCGACCGCUGCAUGGUGCCGCUCAAGAGCUCCAGCUCUCUGGAGCACUGCACGCACAAACACGAACACCAGACCACGCCCAUCAUGCAGGACUGCACCACUUGCGUGUGACGGCGGGGGAAAAAAAAAAACAAAAGAGCGGAUGCAAUCGUGUGAACUCGCAAUCGGAUGGCGCCCGUGUCGGGGUGUGAAACCACUUUUUAACACCAAACGAAAACUCCAAAUUGGGGGUGCUUUGGAAAAUGUGAAACUGUUCAUGGGUACUCUGAUGAAAUCUUGUCUGUGGUCCCCGUCUCCCUGUUAGGCUGGAUUUACACUGCAUGGUGUGACACAAAUAUGAUUUUUAUUUUUUUUUUUGGCGCAAUUUGGAUUUUAAAUGGAAUAAAUAGACGCUGCGGCACGGUGGUUCGGCUGGUAAACCGUCGGCCUCACAGUUCUGAGGACCCGCGUUCGAUCGCGGCCCCGCCUGUGUGGAGUUUGCGUGUUCUCGCCGUGCCUGCGUGGGUUUUCUCCAGGUAUUCCGGUUUACUCCCGCAUCCCAAAAAACAUGCAACAUGAAUUGGACACUCUAAAUUGCCCAUAGGUGUGAUUGUGAGUGCGACUGUUUCUUUCCAUGUAGCCUGCGAUUGGCUGGCGACCAGUUGAGGGCGGGGUACACCCUGAAUUGGUCGCCAGGCGAUCGCAGGGCACCCCCCAAAAAAACACAUUUAGACAAAUUAGAAAACAGCCGCUGUAAAUCUAAAAAGCAAAAGCCUAAACUAGGGGUGUCAAACUCGUUUUUCUCAAGGGCCAGAUUGUUGUUCCGGUUUCCCUCAGAGGGCCGUUUAUAACUGUGGAACAAAAAUAUUCAAUCAUCUCAACAUAUUUACAUCAGGGUAUCAGGAAUCAAGGGCAGUGUGUUUUCCAACUAUUCACGUUUGGUCACACACAAAUGCUUUUAUUAUCUCAACUUUAUCAUUUAUGAUGGAUUAAAAAUUGUAAAUUUUACAGAUUCUCGAUUUGGCUUCGCAGGCCACAUAAAAUCACGUGGUGGCCCAGAUCCGGCCCCCGCGGCUUUGACACCAUUGAAUAAUGGCUACAUUGGGGUUGUGUUUAUCAUUAAAUAAGAACAACGACAGCGUCCUGCGGAGUGACGCCGCGGUUACCCGCGUUUAAACGAACGCCUCGGAAGCCCAAUCCGUGAACGCCACGUAACCUUUUAACGUUUGUAUUUAUCGAUUUAUUGUUUCGAUUUUUGUCGCCGCUGCCCCGUGUUAUUUCUGUGCAAUGUGGGAACGCGUGUGUGCAAGAAAUUGGAAUUGAGCACUUGGAACCUGCGGCGUAAAUCCAGCCUUCGAAGCCCCCAAAAAACCAAAAAGACCCGCUCAACACCGCAUUUGAAAGUCGUGCGGUUCCGCGCCGUCUUCAACGCAAAGCUCGCAGCGUUGCACUUUUGUAGCUCCCCGACGUCCUCGCGUAUUUUUUUAUUUUUUUUUACAUUUGGGAUUUCCUCUGAAUUCAUGAAUGACAAAUGACUCUUUGACGAUGCUUUGAUUGUAACACGAGCCAUGUGAUUGCUAAUUUCUCUGCGUUGUAUUGUACUUGAUGAAGAUAUGAACUCGUGUGCGCUUUAAAAAAAAAAAAGAACGUAUCCAAAACAAAAAAACGGAAAAAAAAAAGGUGAAUACAGGACAUAAUGGGCCUUCCUAUUUAUAAAACAUUCCACAAUGCACGGCAUCGGCUAAAAGCAGCGCUAUAUAAUCCCCAUAUAACCUUACAUAAAAACCCUUCUGAGUAACAUGAAUGCAUGGAAUUGUAGCUCAUUACACGUUUAUGAUUUAUUCCAGCCUUGCAUCACUAACCCCCCCCCCUUUUUUUUUUCUAUUUUUCCUUGUGCCUCCUUAUUUUUUUUUUUUUUUUAAAGCUCGUCUUGUGUAUCUUAACGGUUUCCUUUAAGGGAAAGCACAUUUCCUCCAGUGAUUCGCUUUUAACUGUUUAUUUAAUUUUUUUUUUUUUUCUGACAGUGUUGUUAGCAACGUCUCUGUUUGCGCCGUCCCCCUCUCGGGGACUUUGGCUGAAUGUAUGCAUGAAGAAGACGAAGGAGAGGUUUCGGGGCGGGGGUCCCGCGGUCGACAGUAUUACUGCUCAUAGUGGCUCACUGUGAAGUCUUAAAACAAAAGAAAGCGCGUCCCGGUUUCAAUUACUCGCCACAAAAAAAGAAAACGUGGGACCAGAUCUGGUUUCAAACAUACCGAGCGA